GCAUAACGCGAAGAACCUUACCAAGGCUUGACAUGCAUCUCUAAGCGCGUGAAAGCGCGUGACCCUUCGGGGGAUUUGCACAGGUGCUGCAUGGCCGUCGUCAGCUCGUGUCGUGAGAUGUUGGGUUAAGUCCCGCAACGAGCGCAACCCUUGUGACUAGUUGCCAGCACGUUAUGGUGGGAACUCUAGUCAGACUGCCCAGAUCAACUGGGAGGAAGGUGGGGACGACGUCAGGUCAGUAUGGCCCUUACGCCUAGGGCUGCACACGUACUACAAUGCCCAGCACAAUGAGAACCGAGACCGCGAGGUGGAGGAAAUCUAAAAAACUGGGCCCAGUUCGGAUUGGAGGCUGCAACUCGCCUCCAUGAAGUUGGAAUCGCUAGUAAUGGCGCAUCAGCUACGGCGCCGUGAAUACGUUCCCGGGUCUUGUACACACCG
This 438-nucleotide ribosomal RNA is filed under the name uncultured bacterium. Its description in RNAcentral is "bacterial SSU rRNA". It matches the Rfam family "Bacterial small subunit ribosomal RNA", at positions 954 to 1392 of the family's 1533-position model. The record is from RNAcentral.